This 254-nucleotide ribosomal RNA is filed under the name uncultured bacterium. RNAcentral describes it as "partial 16S ribosomal RNA". It matches the Rfam family "Bacterial small subunit ribosomal RNA", at positions 524 to 776 of the family's 1533-position model. The record is from RNAcentral.
GACGUAGGGUGCGAGCGUUGUCCGGAUUUAUUGGGCGUAAAGAGCUCGUAGGCGGCUCGUCGCGUCGACCGUGAAAACCCGCGGCUCAACCGUGUGGCUUGCAGUCGAUACGGGCAGGCUAGAGUUCGGUAGGGGAGACUGGAAUUCCUGGUGUAGCGGUGAAAUGCGCAGAUAUCAGGAGGAACACCGGUGGCGAAGGCGGGUCUCUGGGCCGAUACUGACGCUGAGGAGCGAAAGCGUGGGGAGCGAACAGG